Caerostris darwini is the source of this 95-nucleotide non-coding RNA. The record is from the annotation of a GenBank genome assembly. NCBI's taxonomy places the organism in Eukaryota, Metazoa, Arthropoda, Arachnida, Araneae, Araneidae.
GAAUACCGGUUCUCGUUAGAUCACCGAACCACUAAAACAUCACUGGGCGCGCUCAGUACCGGGUGGGUGACCACCUGGGAACACUGCGUGCCGUU